Long non-coding RNA from Eriocheir sinensis (Chinese mitten crab), 763 nucleotides. RefSeq lists it as uncharacterized. The transcript is spliced from 4 exons. The record is from RefSeq and is a predicted model, not a curated record. NCBI's taxonomy places the organism in Eukaryota, Metazoa, Arthropoda, Malacostraca, Decapoda, Varunidae.
AGGCGGGCCUCACCCGGAAGCCCACCAGCAGCCGUGUCAUCUAUACGGCAUCCGCGGUAGUUUCUCUUCGCGAGGUGCACGGUGCAGUACGGGAGACGACUGCGUGGUACUCUUCUUCCUGCCCCACACCGCCCGCAGCCCCGCCACGGCCUCCUCCUCCCCGUCCAGGAAAUCCGCAGUCAAGGGGUUAAAGAGAGUGGAGACUCCAGUAAUAUGUAGCCACUCGGGGCUUCAACGUCACCUGAACUUUGAAGGAACUUGGUAAAGAUCACUCACCACGGCAUCACUCUGACACUUGGCACUAUUAAAGAUAGUGUAAAGUUGGCCGGGAGAAAAAUUAACGGCGUGGAAGGUAAUUUCGGUGAGCUGAGGUCAUGUGCGGGAGGAGUUACUGAGCCUCAUACACCACGCCUUACACGACCCGCCUCGCCAGGGCAGCAGAGGCGCCACAGGAUUGGGCCGGGACGGGUCGGGCUGUUUUGGGCCGUCCGUCCCUGCAUGUUCACCCACCUCCCCACUCCGCUAUAAAAGAAUGUAUGCCAGAGAUUAUAAAAUGAGCGUGAGGAUGUUAAAGGAAGGAAUUUGAGGACAUAAUGGGCAAUAUUUUUAAACAUAUUGGCGUCCUAGCACACAUAUUCGACAAGACUUUCAUAAGAGUUGCAGGCAUUUCCAUGAGUAGUUUUAUGACCUUGGUGAUAGUGUGACCCUUCAACUGUACCAUGAUCCUAAAACAAAGUACUCAUUAAUUUAAAACGACUGACCU